GGGAUUGUGGCUCAGUGGUAGAGCACUCGCUUCGCAUGUGCGGGACCUGGGUUCAAUCCUCAGCACCA
This is a non-coding RNA of Ictidomys tridecemlineatus (thirteen-lined ground squirrel), 68 nucleotides long. Lineage: Eukaryota; Metazoa; Chordata; Mammalia; Rodentia; Sciuridae. The record is from Rfam.